GGAUGAAGAACGUAGCGAAAUGCGAUAAGUAAUGUGAAUUGCAGAAUUCAGUGAAUCAUCGAAUCUUUGAACGCACAUUGCGCCCCUUGGUAUUCCGAGGGGCAUGCCUGUUCGAGCGUCAUUAUAACCCCUCAAGCUCAGCUUGGUGUUGGGGCCUGCUGCACUGGCAGCCCUUAAAAUCAGUGGCGGCGCCAUCUGGCUCUAAGCGUAGUAAUUCUUCUCGCUAUGGAGUCCUGGUGGAUGCUUGCCAUCAACCCCCAAUUUUUCUAUGGUUGACCUCGGAUCAGGUAGGGAUACCCGCUGAACUUAAGCAUAUCAAUAAGCGGAGGA
Molecule: unclassified non-coding RNA, 330 nt
Filed under: soil metagenome
Description: partial contains 5.8S ribosomal RNA, internal transcribed spacer 2, and large subunit ribosomal RNA
Rfam family: 5.8S ribosomal RNA (bases 2-121)
Source: RNAcentral